GUUGGAGAACCUAUCCAGUUACAACUACAAUGCAAUGCGGUCCUUCUCUAAUACAAUACUCUUAAUCACAUUGUUUAAGUGAUAGUUUGUUUCAUGUUUACUAUCCAAUGUGAUACUUUCCUAUAUGAUUCCUUUGAAUAUGAUUUGGAACAAACUUCCUAAGUCAUAUUCAUAUGCUUUGGCCAAAGACUUUGGAAUCAUAUCUUAGAGUAUUCUCCUUCCACCAUGGAAGGUUAGAGAUCCCUUGUUGUGCAUUCAUAUGCCUACAUGACUAGAUAGCUUGACCCCAACAAUGCCGUGGACAAUCCGAAGGAAUGCCGUUGACAUGAUCAAAGAUCAAGGACCUAACCAUUAGACAUCCAUGAUGCCUCAGGUCAAAGGACUACUUUGCAUAUUGCAACUUUAGAGUUCAUACAUGACAUGUAUGUUCGAACU
RNAcentral lists this long non-coding RNA (435 nucleotides) under Malus domestica (apple). RNAcentral's name for it is "long non-coding RNA (MDOM_LNC018523)". The record is from RNAcentral. Lineage: Eukaryota; Viridiplantae; Streptophyta; Magnoliopsida; Rosales; Rosaceae.